This 444-nucleotide ribosomal RNA is filed under the name uncultured bacterium. Its description in RNAcentral is "partial 16S ribosomal RNA". It matches the Rfam family "Bacterial small subunit ribosomal RNA", at positions 339 to 795 of the family's 1533-position model. The record is from RNAcentral.
CUACGGGUGGCACCAGUGGGGAAUAUUGCACAAUGGGCGCAAGCCUGAUGCAGCAACGCCGCGUGAGGGACGACGGCCUUCGGGUUGUAAACCUCUUUUAGCAGGGAAGAAGCGAAAGUGACGGUACCUGCAGAAAAAGCACCGGCUAACUACGUGCCAGCAGCCGCGGUAAUACGUAGGGUGCGAGCGUUGUCCGGAAGUAUUGGGCGUAAAGAGCUCGUAGGCGGUUUGUCGCGUCUGCUGUGAAAAUCCGAGGCUCAACCUCGGACCUGCAGUGGGUACGGGCAAACUAGAGUGCGGUAGGGGAGAUUGGAAUUCCUGGUGUAGCGGUGGAAUGCGCAGAUAUCAGGAGGAACACCAAUGGCGAAGGCAGAUCUCUGGGCCGUAACUGACGCUGAGGAGCGAAAGCGUGGGGAGCGAACAGGAUUAGAUACCCGCGUAGUC